AUGACUGUAAUGAUCAGAGAGCAAAACCUGGAGGCUCUGGGGUUCAGUAAUUAGGCCAAGUUCACGAAAAGCCAGGGGUAAGAUAAUUUUUUGUGUGUCUGCAUCUGCAGCCCAUUCCUGGACUAACCAUUUGAUCACUGUGGUUUUGCCACUACCUGCGACCCCAGACAGCAAGGCUACACCACCCCGUGAGUUAGCGAGCAAGCUCUGAUAGAUGUCGUUAUAAGAACAAGUCUCUCCUUGCCCUCUUGCCUCGGCCCUCCCUGCCCUAAAGGCAUCCCCGACAACUGAUGUCUCAUGCUGGAAAUGAACUGGCACUUGGCGUCCUGUCUGCUUAGAAAACGUAAUGUCCGUGAACCAGUCUACCUUGGAAAGUCCACAUGUUGAUCCGAGAUAAUUUCCUGGUGUGUGUUGCCUGGCCAAGAUAUCCUUGUGUCUUUGGAGAUGGUCACUCACAGGAUCUUUUACACUCAGGUUUGUGGUUCGAAUGAAGUUAGAAGCUUCGAAUUUGGACAACAGGAUCAGAAAUGCUUGACACGGUUCCUCUCCUCGUCCCUGCAGGACAUCCAGCAGCGUCCUCAUACAGUCUCGUUCACCUAAAAGUCCACCACCUUUUAUAAAACUGAGGUCCUCUUCGGUCACAGCCCCCAUUUCGAAGAGGCGCUCCAGGAGAGGGUUCAAGCGUUUGCUCCAGUUCUCCACCAGCUCCACACGGCGUCUUUGGAUCUCCAGACUGCAUGAUGCAACAGCCAUCAGACAACGUGGAGGACAAAAAUACCAUCGCUGAGGGAGCUGACAGAAAUGCCUAAAGGAGAAGGGUCGCAGGCAAGCUGGAACCUAUCCCAGCUGACUAUGGGCGAAAGGCGGGGUACACCCUGGACAAGUCGCCAGAAAAUAACACAAAUUGUGAAAAACGAGGUGGCUGCCAUGAUGUACUCCAUCCUUCAGUGAACGCAUACCUUCAUCUUCUCAUUGCCCAGACCCUGGAGCACUUUAGGAUUGAUAUCCUCCCCAUCUAAACAAACACACACAUGCUAGAAUGUUAUAAUACACCGCAGACAAAAAAAAGAUCUAUCCCACAGUAUACGAAUGGAUUUUGGACAAUUUGCUAUACAUUCAAUUUUACCCUUGUUUAAAUGCACUUUAUUCUUUAGAAAUUCACAUAAAUGUACUGAACAACUCAUGAAAACUCUCAUAACAUGAAAAUGCAAACAUGUAAAAACACUUCCUGCAUUUGGUUAUUUGAGCUACGAGUUAGAAAUAAUUGCUAUAAUAUUAUAAUAUGCAUCUGCCAGCAAUAAUCUCCAUCUACAAAAAUCAAAUUGUAAUAAAAAUAGUUGUAAUAAAUAUUAUUUACCUACAGGCAAAACUGGGAUCAGCUGAAAGCUGAGAAUUUGCUAUUUCAACCAUAAAUAAAUCGGCACAGAGAAACACUUACUGAGCCUUGUUCCUACAAACAGCUUGGCGACACUCUGAGGGUAGUUGUCUUUCUUGUCCUUAAAUAUUUCACUGGCCACCGACUUCUGCUCCAACUACAAGGAAAAGGAAAGAUGCUCAUAUUUUGUACACACAAAAUGAGGAAAGUGCCAUGCUGAAUUUUGGAAAAUCCUCUAUGAAUUGUAAAGCAGUAAUGAAUCUGUACUCUACCUGAUGCUUCCAUUCUGGGUUGAUGCUCUUGCAGUACUUCCACACCAUGUUCUGCAUACACAGCUUGCGGAGGUGCUCUGAUGCCUGGUGUAUGACAAAAUACCGUCAUACAUCAAUAUCUACUCCAUACCAUAUCCAGUAUUAUUAGAUAUGCAGGACACUUUUUCGAUGGAAUAAAAACAUGUGUUCUAUUCCCUUCUAGUGGGUUUCAUUCAUUUGGUUUGAUAGCAUGCAAUAUUGUUAGUGUAUCGCUUAUCCUACAUGUAUUAUGUCACUCUACCCAAUGGAGAAUGAGCACUGAAUAUAGUUUAUGAUAUUGCAUGGUUGUCAAGACAACAUGUCACACAUUGAAGCUGAUGCAAAUAUCCAAUGAGAGAGUUUUCUGUAGCAUCUCUUUGUUCGCCAGCAGCACCUGCAGUAAACUGUCGCAGUGAAUUGAAAAUGCCGUGAGAUAUUACACGUAAAACUUCUGCGCGAAUGAGCGACCGUGAAAAUUUGUAAACAAACAUGGCCGCCAGGUUUGUUCCAUCAAAUGUGUAUGUAUUAUAAUAAUAAUAAUAAUAAUAAUAAUAAUAUUGGCUGGCUUUUUUCAUGGUAUAUCAGAUAUAUUCCAUUCAGCUAGCAUGAUACUGAACUCGUCUUAAUAUCAUGCUAGCUGAAUGGAAUAUAUUUGAUAUACCACCAAAAAAAAAAAGCCAGCCAAUAUUAUUUAAAUAAUAAGUGAGGGUUAAUAGCACAUGGAGUCAAACCUCAGUCAGGGCAGGGGGUGGUGUAGGCCAGCUCUUGUCCAGUACUGAUUUCGGCAAACUCCUGUGUAGCUUCAUGAGGAAUGAGUAGCGUACGUAGUCAAGGAAGAAUUCGUUCUCAGGACAGCGUGGCUGGUGGCGGUACAUGAAUCCUUUAAUGAAUCUAUAAGAAAAGGAAGACCUCUGAAUCAAAACAAAUCCUAGCUACAAAUGUUUGUAGUAUAGUUGUGAUAAUAAUAAACAGAUACUGUAAUUGCAUAUGAAUCUCACGAUAAUGUUUAUGUAUCACAGCGUUGUUGAAUUCUCAAUUCUGAUUGGUCAGAAGGCGCUGAUUAAUUUUCUACAACAGCAGCUCUGACAGUAGUGCCAGUUGCAAGGAUUAUAAUCAUUUAUAUAAACUGUUCUUUUUUUUUUUUUUUAAGAUAUUUUUUUGGGCUUUUUGCACCUUUAUUGGAUAGGACAGUGUAGAGACAGGAAAUGAGCGGGAGAGAGAGACGGGAAGGGAUCGGGAAAUGACCUCGGGCCGGAAUCGAACCCGGGUCGCCCGCAUUCAUGGUAUGGCGCCUUAACCACCUGAGCCACGACGCCCCCUUAUAUAAACUGUUCUAAUACUGUAUGUUAUUGUUUCUGUAGCAACAAUGCACAUAGGGACUUGUAUAGCCGAUGCACCAUAUUAAAAAUUAGAAAAGUAGGUAAUUUUU
Neoarius graeffei (lesser salmon catfish) is the source of this 3094-nucleotide long non-coding RNA. RefSeq lists it as uncharacterized. NCBI's taxonomy places the organism in Eukaryota, Metazoa, Chordata, Actinopteri, Siluriformes, Ariidae. The transcript is spliced from 4 exons. The record is from RefSeq and is a predicted model, not a curated record.